RNAcentral lists this transfer RNA (74 nucleotides) under Planctomycetota bacterium. RNAcentral's name for it is "Planctomycetes bacterium tRNA-Gln". It matches the Rfam family "tRNA". Rfam says of the family: Transfer RNA (tRNA) molecules are approximately 80 nucleotides in length. Their secondary structure includes four short double-helical elements and three loops (D, anti-codon, and T loops). Lineage: Bacteria; Pseudomonadati; Planctomycetota. The record is from RNAcentral.
UGCCCGGUGGUGUAAUGGUAGCACCGCAGGUUUUGGACCUGUUAGUUGGGGUUCGAAUCCCUACCGGGCAACCA